Molecule: ribosomal RNA, 400 nt
Filed under: uncultured bacterium
Lineage: Bacteria
Description: bacterial SSU rRNA
Rfam family: Bacterial small subunit ribosomal RNA
Source: RNAcentral
CAGGCCUAACACAUGCAAGUCGAGCGGAUGACAGGCAGCUUGCUCCUUGAUUCACCGGCGGACGGGUGAAUAAUGCCUACGAUUCUGCCUGCAUAAUGGGGGACAACGUUGCUAAAUGAACGCUAAUACCGCAUACCUCCUACCGGAGAAAGCAGGGGACCUUCGAGCCUUGCGCUAUCAGAUGAGCCUAUGUCGGAUUAUCUACUCGGUGAGGUAAUGGCUCACCAAGGCGACGAUCCGUAACUGGUCUGAAAGGAUGAUCAGUCACACUGGAACUGACACACGGUCCAGACUCCUACGGGAGGCAGCAUCUGGCGAAUAUUGGACAAUGGGCCAAACCCUGAUCCAGACAUGCCGCGUGUGUGAACAACGUCUUCGCAUCGUAAAGCACUUCAACAUC